AACGAACGCUGGCGGCAUGCCUAACACAUGCAAGUCGAACGAAGGCUUCGGCCUUAGUGGCGCACGGGUGCGUAACGCGUGGGAAUCUGCCCUUUGCUUCGGAAUAACAGUUAGAAGUGACUGCUAAUACCGGAUGAUGUCGCAAGACCAAAGAUUUAUCGGCAAAGGAUGAGCCCGCGUAGGAUUAGCUAGUUGGUGGGGUAAAGGCCUACCAAGGCGACGAUCCUUAGCUGGUCUGAGAGGAUGAUCAGCCACACUGGGACUGAGACACGGCCCAGACUCCUACGGGAGGCAGCAGUGGGGAAUAUUGGACAAUGGGCGAAAGCCUGAUCCAGCAAUGCCGCGUGAGUGAUGAAGGCCUUAGGGUUGUAAAGCUCUUUUACCCGGGAUGAUAAUGACAGUACCGGGAGAAUAAGCUCCGGCUAACUCCGUG
This 433-nucleotide ribosomal RNA is filed under the name uncultured bacterium. RNAcentral describes it as "partial 16S ribosomal RNA". It matches the Rfam family "Bacterial small subunit ribosomal RNA", at positions 29 to 507 of the family's 1533-position model. The record is from RNAcentral.